Molecule: ribosomal RNA, 253 nt
Filed under: uncultured bacterium
Lineage: Bacteria
Description: partial 16S ribosomal RNA
Rfam family: Bacterial small subunit ribosomal RNA
Source: RNAcentral
UACAGAGGGUGCGAGCGUUGUUCGGAAUCACUGGGCGUAAAGGGCGCGUAGGCGGCCUGAUAAGUCGGGGGUGAAAUCCUGCGGCUUAACCGCAGGGCUGCCUUCUAAACUGUCAGGCUCGAGCACAGUAGAGGCAGGUGGAAUUCCCGGUGUAGCGGUGGAAUGCGUAGAGAUCGGGAAGAACAUCAGUGGCGAAGGCGGCCUGCUGGGCUGUUGCUGACGCUGAGGCGCGACAGCGUGGGGAGCAAACAGG